RNAcentral lists this transfer RNA (70 nucleotides) under Rhodichthys regina (threadfin seasnail). RNAcentral describes it as "tRNA-His". It matches the Rfam family "tRNA". Rfam says of the family: Transfer RNA (tRNA) molecules are approximately 80 nucleotides in length. Their secondary structure includes four short double-helical elements and three loops (D, anti-codon, and T loops). The record is from RNAcentral. Lineage: Eukaryota; Metazoa; Chordata; Actinopteri; Perciformes; Liparidae.
GUAGGCAUAGUUUUAACAAAAUAUUAGAUUGUGAUUCUAAAGAUAGGGGUUAAACCCCCCCUUGCCCACC